UACAGAGGGGGCAAGCGUUAUUCGGAAUUAUUGGGCGUAAAGGGCGCGUAGGCGGCCUGGCAAGUGGAAGGUGAAAUCCCUCGGCUUAACCGAGGAACUGCCCUCCAAACUGCUUGGCUUGAGUCCGGGAGAGGUGAGUGGAAUUCCCAGUGUAGCGGUGAAAUGCGUAGAUAUUGGGAGGAACAUCAGUGGCGAAAGCGGCUUCCUGGACCAGUACCGACGUUCAGGCACGAAAGCGUGGGGAGCAAACAGG
RNAcentral lists this ribosomal RNA (253 nucleotides) under uncultured bacterium. RNAcentral's name for it is "partial 16S ribosomal RNA". It matches the Rfam family "Bacterial small subunit ribosomal RNA", at positions 524 to 776 of the family's 1533-position model. The record is from RNAcentral.